GGGCCAUAGCUCAGUGGUAGACCAUCUGCUUUGCAUGUGGGAGGUCCCAGUUUCAAUUCCUGGCAUCUCCA
Molecule: non-coding RNA, 71 nt
Organism: Podarcis lilfordi (Lilford's wall lizard)
Lineage: Eukaryota; Metazoa; Chordata; Lepidosauria; Squamata; Lacertidae
Source: the annotation of a GenBank genome assembly